Molecule: microRNA precursor, 163 nt
Filed under: Oryza brachyantha (malo sina)
Lineage: Eukaryota; Viridiplantae; Streptophyta; Magnoliopsida; Poales; Poaceae
Description: MIR812 microRNA precursor family
Rfam family: MIR812 microRNA precursor family
Source: Rfam by way of RNAcentral
UAAAAUGUUUUAACUCUUCGUCUUAUUUGAAAUUUUUUUGUGAUUAAUAUUUUUAUUGUUACUAGAUGAUAAAACAUGAAUAAUAUUUUAUGCGUGAUUAAUUUUUUUAGUUUUUAUAUAAAAUUUUUAAAUAAGACGAAUGGUCAAACGUUAGACACAGAAA